This 468-nucleotide ribosomal RNA is filed under the name uncultured bacterium. Its description in RNAcentral is "partial 16S ribosomal RNA". It matches the Rfam family "Bacterial small subunit ribosomal RNA", at positions 28 to 507 of the family's 1533-position model. The record is from RNAcentral.
GACGAACGCUGGCGGCGUGCUUAACACAUGCAAGUCGAACGGAAAGGCCCUGCUUUUGUGGGGUGCUCGAGUGGCGAACGGGUGAGUAACACGUGAGUAACCUGCCCUUGACUUUGGGAUAACUUCAGGAAACUGGGGCUAAUACCGGUUAGGAGCUCCUGCUGCAUGGUGGGGGUUGGAAAGUUUCGGCGGUUGGGGAUGGACUCGCGGCUUAUCAGCUUGUUGGUGGGGUAGUGGCUUACCAAGGCUUUGACGGGUAGCCGGCCUGAGAGGGUGACCGGCCACAUUGGGACUGAGAUACGGCCCAGACUCCUACGGGAGGCAGCAGUGGGGAAUAUUGCACAAUGGGCGGAAGCCUGAUGCAGCAACGCCGCGUGCGGGAUGACGGCCUUCGGGUUGUAAACCGCUUUCGCCUGUGGCGAAGCGUGAGUGACGGUAAUGGGUAAAGAAGCACCGGCUAACUACGUG